Dromaius novaehollandiae (emu) is the source of this 1734-nucleotide long non-coding RNA. The record is from Ensembl. Lineage: Eukaryota; Metazoa; Chordata; Aves; Casuariiformes; Dromaiidae.
CGUGGCCUUACGGCGGGCGCACCAAUGGCGGGGAAACUGAGGCCGAAGCGAAAGUGGAGGCAAUACAAKCCUGUGAAGGGGAAGAACAAAACGUAAGUGAAUGUAGAACUGCAUUGAAGAAAAAAUUUGAGAAGUAUUUGCCAAGUCGUGGUCAUUGUCUUGGUGAGAGCCACAUAUGCCACCUCCAAAGGGAAAGCCGUCCUCGCAGCCACGGCAGUGACAAGGAGUAAGGAGACACAACCCUCUGUCCCUGCAGAGUCUGGGCCAUCUGUAUGCAGUGGUGCCCAGCGUGAGAUACCCGUGACGGCCAGACGCUGCCUGCCUGCCUCAGCCUGAAGGUCUGAGCCAGGUGCAUGAACGAGGAUGGUGACCAAACAUGUACCUGCCCUGCCGAAGACGCGGGUCACCGCCCGUGGAGCGUGUCCCACGGACUUCAGCAGCACGUGUCCCCGGAUCCUGAGCCCGUUUCCCGCACGCCGGGCUGCAGCUCGCUGCAGUGUCCCCCGGGUGCCGUGAGCCGGCUGCGAGACGCUCGGGCUGCGAUGCGCGGCCACGCAAUGACAUCUCAAAGUGMGACUGCGUUUGGCCUGGCUGCUGCUCUGUUCCGGUCUCCGCAUUGGUGCGUUAUACCUUUAGACUUUCAACGUUUUAUAUUGCUGCUGGAGUUGCUUAAUGCUGCAGCAAGUACUGUGCAGGCACGUGCGUUGCAUCGGACCUGCCCUGUCUUCUCAUAACCCCGACCGCAGCAGCAGGGCUCGUGUUUCACUGGUACUCGAGCGCUGUAGAAACAAAUCCUGCCGAUCGCAGCUCGGGACGUGCUUAAAUGCAUUUCCUCUGCCCCCCGCCGCCAUCCCCACCCUGCAGCAGCAGGAGUGCGAGGCUUGCACUCGCGUACCAGGAGCAUUCACAGGAUACGGACAGGAGCAGCUUUAACUUGGCAACUGCCUUGUAUUUCUUGCCUGAAGUGAUCCUGGGACAUCUCCUGUUUCCUUGUUAUAAUUAAAGAGAAACUUAAUUUGUUCAACAUCCCUUUGCUGAAGUAGGCCUGAUUUUUGCAUUUGACACGUUGAAAUCCAUUAGACAGCAACAGGCAGCAUCGCUGGUGAUGGGCAGAGGCCAGGCGUCUGUCUUUGAAGUGUCCUCUUUUGUCCAGUCCUGUGUCAUCGCAACAGUGCAUCAGGCAAUCGAUCUCUGUGUACCACCUCUCCCUUUAAUGCUUCUUUUUUUUCCCCUCUCUCUUCCAGGAUGGUAAGAGGGGGAUAAUAAGAGAGGAAAGGGAUAAAGAGACUGGGAGCAUAGAAAACCGGAUCAGAGUUACAGCAACAAUCGUGUGUAUCUCAGCUUUUUUUUCCCCACCUUUUCAUCCAACUCUUUAUGUAUGAGGAAYACGGAUGAGCAAUUGCAGUUUGCUGAGGACAGUAACUUCUCCGACCAGUAUAUAUGGCCAAAAGUGGAUCUGUGAAUAAGCCAUCAAUUAGAGAAAUCCUAAGGCCGCUCUAACCUUCUCCCACGGACCCCGCGUAUCCCUGAGUCUGCAGAAGGACAGAGAUUUGUGUGGCAACUUAGGCCCAUCUCCAGCUGUGGCAAGGUGAUGCUCCCACGUCCGUAGAGGCUGUGGUGUUCGCUGCGGUUACCCCGAGGCAGUCCCCAGCAGCUGUAAGUUGUAUUUGCAUAUGUGAACGUGCUCUGGACCUGCUAGGUCAGGAGUUUUUCUCUGUUGCUUCCAGGCAACAU